RNAcentral lists this ribosomal RNA (750 nucleotides) under uncultured cyanobacterium. RNAcentral's name for it is "bacterial SSU rRNA". It matches the Rfam family "Bacterial small subunit ribosomal RNA", at positions 12 to 805 of the family's 1533-position model. The record is from RNAcentral. Lineage: Bacteria; Bacillati; Cyanobacteriota.
UUUGAUCCUGGCUCAGGAUGAACGCUGGCGGUAUGCUUAACACAUGCAAGUCGAACGGAUGUUUUCGGACAUUAGUGGCGGACGGGUGAGUAACGCGUGAGAAUCUGCCUAUGGGUUGGGGACAACAGAUGGAAACGUCUGCUAAUACCCAAUGUGCCGAGAGGUAAAAGCUUUAGUGCCUGUAGAUGAGCUUGCGUCCGAUUAGCUAGUUGGUUGGGUAAAGGCUGGCCAAGGCGACGAUCGGUAGCUGGUCUGAGAGGAUGAUCAGCCACACUGGGACUGAGACACGGCCCAGACUCCUACGGGAGGCAGCAGUGGGGAAUUUUCCGCAAUGGGCGAAAGCCUGACGGAGCAAUACCGCGUGCGGGACGAAGGCUCUUGGGUCGUAAACCGCUUUUGUUAGGGAAGAAGAACUGACGGUACCUAACGAAUCAGCAUCGGCUAACUCCGUGCCAGCAGCCGCGGUAAUACGGGGGAUGCAAGCGUUAUCCGGAAUUAUUGGGCGUAAAGCGUCCGCAGGUGGUUUAUCAAGUCUGCUGUCAAAGCGUGGGGCUCAACCCCAUAAAGGCAGUGGAAACUGAGAGACUAGAGUACGGUAGGGGUAGCGGGAAUUCCCAGUGUAGCGGUGAAAUGCGUAGAUAUUGGGAAGAACACCAGCGGCGAAGGCGCGCUACUGGGCCGAAACUGACACUCAUGGACGAAAGCUAGGGGAGCGAAAGGGAUUAGAUACCCCUGUAGUCCUAGCUGUAA